CAAAAAAUUACGAAAUAUCAAUAUAUCUCUAACCAAACUUCGCUUUGAAUCGUUUUUUGUUCGCAAUGUUUUACCGUUAGUUACAGGUAUAAAUGAAAUAACUUCAUGAUUUUGUUUUAUUUUUUUAAUAACUUUCCGCACAUAAAAUAUAUAAUAUUAUCGAUCGUCGAUUAAUUCACACGUAAAAUACUCCAGAGACUUUUACAGUGG
Cinara cedri is the source of this 210-nucleotide non-coding RNA. The record is from the annotation of a GenBank genome assembly. NCBI's taxonomy places the organism in Eukaryota, Metazoa, Arthropoda, Insecta, Hemiptera, Aphididae.